RNAcentral lists this long non-coding RNA (955 nucleotides) under Pan troglodytes (chimpanzee). RNAcentral describes it as "long non-coding RNA NONPTRT002317". Lineage: Eukaryota; Metazoa; Chordata; Mammalia; Primates; Hominidae. The record is from RNAcentral.
GGAGACCCAGUCUCGAUAGAAAGAAGAAGGAUAGAAGGAUCAGAGAUCACGCUAGGGCUGCAGAACACCUACAGCACCCUUUUGAAUGCAACUGGAAGUAUUGGUGCCUCAGGAGCUACACAAGCCUGAACCACCUGCUAUUUACCAGAUGUAUGAGCUUGGGCCAUUCCCUUACCCCAUGGGGGGUUCGCAGCUUCCAACAUGUAAAAUAGCAGUCAUAGUGCCAACUUCUUCACAUUGUAAGUGAUGAAUAAGAUAGCAUGACAACUGCCUGCCUGGUCCACAUGGGAGCUGGGCCACUGUUCUGUCCUCCCUUUCAUGCUGCCACUCCCAUGAUGCUGGCAGAUGUGACCAAUGCUCCUGCCUGUUCAGGUGAUGAUGGCUAUGAGGAAACAAAGAACACAGCUGCUCACUGGCUUCCAUGCUGAUGCUCCCAGGCAGCCACUUCUCCCCUUAGUUCGGGAUUGUUUUUAAAUUUUUUCCAUUUUGGGUAAUAUUUAGUCUCCACAUGAUCAUUCUUACAGAUCUUUAUUGAGUACAAGUGUAUGGGGCAGGAAACAAUGGGGAGGAUUUUAGGUUUUCCAUGGUUCAGUGGAGAAGCAGCCCUCUUCCCAUCAGCAAACACUAUUUUUAUCCUUAGGAGUCCUGUUGUUAUUCUCUGUGCACGUUGGAGGAAGUCAGUUUGAGAGAGAAAACUUCUGUUUCCGGCACUUUCAUUUUCUUUUAUAUCAAAUAUCUUGUAUCUUCUAUUCAUUUCAAGGUGUAGAUCUGGGACCUGUGCCAUCCUCAAAUGUGUGGGCAGAGUUUUGUUUUGGUUUGGUUUUUCACCGAGCACCAGCUUCCUCUGUUGCCUGAACAGCUGUGUUUGGUUCUUGGCAGCAAGUGUCUUCUGGAGCUUAGAACUGCCUUGCUAGGAGCAUGUGUAGAGUGUCUUGAAUGAAAAAUAAACCUUGGA